CAGCUCGGGACCCAUGGAGGA
RNAcentral lists this unclassified non-coding RNA (21 nucleotides) under Mus musculus (house mouse). RNAcentral's name for it is "oocyte_clustered_small_RNA9137". The record is from RNAcentral. Lineage: Eukaryota; Metazoa; Chordata; Mammalia; Rodentia; Muridae.